GACGAACGCUGGCGGCGUGCCUAAUACAUGCAAGUUGAGCGCUGAAGGUUGGUACUUGUACCAACUGGAUGAGCAGCGAACGGGUGAGUAACGCGUGGGGAAUCUGCCUUUGAGCGGGGGACAACAUUUGGAAACGAAUGCUAAUACCGCAUAAAAACUUUAAACACAAGUUUUAUGUUUGAAAGAUGCAAUUGCAUCACUCAAAGAUGAUCCCGCGUUGUAUUAGCUAGUUGGUGAGGUAAAGGCUCACCAAGGCGAUGAUACAUAGCCGACCGGAGAGGGUGAUCGGCCACACUGGGAUUGAGACACGGCCCAAACUCCUACGGGAGGCAGCAGUAGGGAAUCUUCGGCAAUGGACGAAAGUCUGACCGAGCAACGCCGCGGGAGUGAAGAAGGUUUUCGGAUCGUAAAACUCUGUUGGUAGAGAAGAACGUUGGUGAGAGUGGAAAGCUCAUCAAGUGACGGUAACUACCCAGAAAGGGACGGCUAACUACGUG
This 497-nucleotide ribosomal RNA is filed under the name uncultured bacterium. RNAcentral describes it as "partial 16S ribosomal RNA". It matches the Rfam family "Bacterial small subunit ribosomal RNA", at positions 28 to 507 of the family's 1533-position model. The record is from RNAcentral.